UGUGGAAUUGCUGACCUCGAGAACCUGGAUCUGGACACUCCACCAGAUUUACAGCUUGCUGAUCUGCAGUUCAGUUCUCAGGAUCUGCAGUUUAGUUCUCAGGAUAGUAUUCUAGGUUGGAUUGAUCGAUUAUGAAGAUAGUAAGAUACAUAAUUGGGCAAAGCCUCCCAGGAAUGACAUGGCUUACCACUUUUUGUGCCGUCCCAGUUUCUGAUUGAAGCUGUCUGGUUUUACCAGCAUUUUCUUCAGCAGCGCAGAGUCGGUUUCAUUGCUUUAUCGGCUUCUCCUGUUUCUGGUUCGUGUAGUGCAUGGAAGUCUACCAAGCUCAAAAUAUGAGUCUUUUUGGGGUUGUUAAAGACUGGUUUAGUUGUGUGUGGUAGAAAUGGCUCAAAUAGUUUUUGUGCUCUGGUCUCUAUCUACUUGUUGUGAAGUGUAUUGAUGUUAUGCUUGCUUGAUGAUGGAUGUUUUCAAGGGACCUGUUGGCCUAGAUAAAUUUGUUGCUUCCAUGGCUGUUGAAGCAGAUGUCAUUCGGUACUCAGAAUUUAAAAACCAUGGAAGCAACAAUUGAAUCUUGGGCAACAUCUCCAAGAUGGUUCUAGCUAGGAUCUAGAUUUCCUUAGUGAAACUUGAAUAUGUUUUUGUGUAAUUGAAGGACAACUUUCAUGCUUGCAUGAAAGUUGUCCUUCAAUUACACAAAAACAUAUUCAAGUUUCACUAAGGAAA
RNAcentral lists this unclassified non-coding RNA (723 nucleotides) under Hevea brasiliensis (rubber tree). Lineage: Eukaryota; Viridiplantae; Streptophyta; Magnoliopsida; Malpighiales; Euphorbiaceae. The record is from RNAcentral.